GAUGAAGAACGCAGCGAAAUGCGAUAAGUAAUGUGAAUUGCAGAAUUCAGUGAAUCAUCGAAUCUUUGAACGCACCUUGCGCCCUUUGGACUUCUGAAGGGCAUGCCUGUUUGAGUAUCAUGAACACCCCAACUCCUUAUGGUCUUCCAUGAUGAGCUUGGACUUUGGGGGUUUUGCUGGCCUACAGUCAGCUCCUCUAAAAUAAAUCAGCUUACCGGUGUUUGGUGGGUAUCAUGGGUGUGAUAACUAUCUACGCUCGUGGUUUUCCACCAGGUAACCUUCAGCAGUGGAGGUUCACUGGAGCUCAUAGAUGUCUCUCCUCAGCGAGGACAGCCCUUUGAAUGUUUGAUCUCAAAUCAGGUAGGACUACCCGCUGAACUUAAGCAUAUCAAUAAGCGGAGGA
RNAcentral lists this unclassified non-coding RNA (403 nucleotides) under soil metagenome. RNAcentral's name for it is "partial contains 5.8S ribosomal RNA, internal transcribed spacer 2, and large subunit ribosomal RNA". The stretch from base 1 to 120 matches the Rfam family "5.8S ribosomal RNA", at positions 35 to 154 of the family's 154-position model. The record is from RNAcentral.